UACGUAGGGUGCAAGCGUUGUCCGGAAUUAUUGGGCGUAAAGAGCUCGUAGGCGGUUCGUCGCGUCGGCUGUGAAAAUCCCCGAGGCUCAACCUCGGGUCUGCAGUCGAUACGGGGCGGACUGGAGUUCGGCAGGGGAGACUGGAAUUCCUGGUGUAGCGGUGAAAUGCGCAGAUAUCAGGAGGAACACCGGUGGCGAAGGCGGGUCUCUGGGCCGAUACUGACGCUGAGGAGCGAAAGCGUGGGGAGCGAACAGG
RNAcentral lists this ribosomal RNA (256 nucleotides) under uncultured bacterium. Its description in RNAcentral is "partial 16S ribosomal RNA". It matches the Rfam family "Bacterial small subunit ribosomal RNA", at positions 524 to 776 of the family's 1533-position model. The record is from RNAcentral.